RNAcentral lists this ribosomal RNA (564 nucleotides) under uncultured fungus. RNAcentral's name for it is "eukaryotic LSU rRNA". The stretch from base 217 to 370 matches the Rfam family "5.8S ribosomal RNA". Lineage: Eukaryota; Fungi. The record is from RNAcentral.
CUUGGUCAUUUAGAGGAAGUAAAAGUCGUAACAAGGUCUCCGUUGGUGAACCAGCGGAGGGAUCAUUACCGAGUUUACAACUCCCAAACCCCUGUGAACAUACCUAUACGUUGCCUCGGCGGAUCAGCCCGCGCCCCGUAAAACGGGACGGCCCGCCCGAGGACCCUAAACUCUGUUUUUAGUGGAACUUCUGAGUAAAACAAACAAAUAAAUCAAAACUUUCAACAACGGAUCUCUUGGUUCUGGCAUCGAUGAAGAACGCAGCAAAAUGCGAUAAGUAAUGUGAAUUGCAGAAUUCAGUGAAUCAUCGAAUCUUUGAACGCACAUUGCGCCCGCCAGUAUUCUGGCGGGCAUGUCUGUUCGAGCGUCAUUUCAACCCUCAAGCUCAGCUUGGUGUUGGGACUCGCGGUAACCCGCGUUCCCCAAAUCGAUUGGCGGUCACGUCGAGCUUCCAUAGCGUAGUAAUCAUACACCUCGUUACUGGUAAUCGUCGCGGCCACGCCGUUAAACCCCAACUUCUGAAUGUUGACCUCGGAUCAGGUAGGAAUACCCGCUGAACUUAAG